UGUAACGGUUGCGGUUGGACAAUACCGAUUCAAAAUAGGUUAUCGCUAUGGUGCUCGGAUAUCGCAUGCAAUAACCUUGGGCCAAUUAGCGCUGCAGGGCAUAGUAUAGUUGGGGUGGGUGCAAGCAAGCUCGAGGUAGGGAACAGCUGAGCUGAGCUGCCGUAAGUGCUGUGCAGCGCAUCGCAACGGAGCUUUCGAAGCCGAGCUUUAAGAUCGGUAAGCUCGUAUUUAAGCAGUGCAAAAGCACCAGAACGUUCUCUUUUGAAAAUUUGAAUCUGUGCAGCCGGUGGCUAUCGCCGCUUCGGAAAAAAAAAUAUAUAACUAAAUCGACCACGUGUAAUCCCAAAAGAAAAGAAAAGUAAGAAAGUACAACCCGAAUAAGUGCCACAAAGACAAACCGAGAAUAAAUAAAACGUAACGGGGAAAGUCCCACACGGUGGGCGCGCCGCAGAAAUCGGGCGACAAUUAAUAACCGUGCGCCGAGAAAAGUGGCAAGUGUUGUUCUUGGUGCAAACCCGUGCGUCCCACAACUCGGCCAGGAGCACCCAACACUCGUGUCUCCGUGGAAAAAGCCCGGAAAAACCGGGCCCUGGCCCCGAGCGGUAGCCACCCGGCUCUCCCAAAGUUCUGCCCCCACCCACACCAAACUCCCACCCUUGACGGGAGUACUCUUCGGAGUCGACCUUGGUGUGGGGCCGGGAUUUUUGUUCCCCUUUUGGAGUCGAGGAAGCAUCCACCUGCCCGGUGACAUAACCUCCACCGGCCCUAACCCUUGCGCCAUAUCUAACGUACGCGCAUAGAGGGCAUCGAGGGCAUAGAGAGUACCCCCCCCUCCCUAUGCGCCGCUAACUCGCUGUCUGCGACGGCCUAGAAGACGCCGCCACGGAUCCGGACCGAGAUUUUGUAGCAUAGUGUAGUUUUAAUUGUAAUUUUUUUCUUGUUCUUUAAGCACUUAUAUUCUUUAACUCUGAGGUACAGUCCUACCUCGCUAGGCGUGAAGGUGCCAGCUCCCAAAACGAAAUUUAUUUUUCGGGUUGGAGACUUAACGAUGUAAUCAUAAAAUAACCGACUACAAAAGAAAACCUUUUCAUACCCCCCCCUAUUUCCCAAUCCCCCUCCGAUUUGGGCACACACUAACAGGGUCUCCACAGCUCCACAAUGAAAGGCGCCUUUCAGCGAGGGACCACUGUAUGCAAGCCGUAAGUGAACCAAUUUUAAUAUUCUCCUUUGCGCUUGUAUUCGUUCAAAUCUAAAACGCAUGCGCAGCGGCCAGCCGCUGCUGAUAAGAGAGCGCAACGCUUGCGUUCCACACGCUCGAAGCUUUUCGGUCUCUUCGGUGCCAAUGCUGCUAAGCUUGCAUUGCUCGCAUUCCCUGCAUUCUUUUAAUGCAUGGAAACGUAGCCAAGCAAUACACUAACCAACAUA
Long non-coding RNA from Drosophila pseudoobscura, 1425 nucleotides. RefSeq lists it as uncharacterized. NCBI's taxonomy places the organism in Eukaryota, Metazoa, Arthropoda, Insecta, Diptera, Drosophilidae. The transcript is spliced from 2 exons. The record is from RefSeq and is a predicted model, not a curated record.